RNAcentral lists this ribosomal RNA (154 nucleotides) under Colletotrichum fioriniae. RNAcentral's name for it is "5.8S ribosomal RNA". It matches the Rfam family "5.8S ribosomal RNA". From Rfam's summary of the family: 5.8S ribosomal RNA (5.8S rRNA) is a component of the large subunit of the eukaryotic ribosome. The record is from RNAcentral. Lineage: Eukaryota; Fungi; Ascomycota; Sordariomycetes; Glomerellales; Glomerellaceae.
ACUUUUAACAACGGAUCUCUUGGUUCUGGCAUCGAUGAAGAACGCAGCGAAAUGCGAUAAGUAAUGUGAAUUGCAGAAUUCAGUGAAUCAUCGAAUCUUUGAACGCACAUUGCACUCGCCAGCAUUCUGGCGAGCAUGCCUGUUCGAGCGUCAU